RNAcentral lists this long non-coding RNA (1358 nucleotides) under Androctonus crassicauda. The record is from RNAcentral. Lineage: Eukaryota; Metazoa; Arthropoda; Arachnida; Scorpiones; Buthidae.
GGCAUUGAUAGUCAUGGUUGGCAAUUUUUCUUCGUUCCAUUUCGUUACAACUCCUGUAUUGGAUUACUUGUUAUGCCAAUGUUUCAGAUUAUAUCGAGUACUUCCGUUAUCAUUGUUCUCCUCCUUAUCUGUAUGACCUACACUCUUAAUUAUCAUCGGAGUAGUUAGUUAAUAAAUUUUAACCUUUUACAUCUUAACAUCUUAAUUUUCGUGUGCCCGAGGCAAUAAACAAAUCAUAACGGUAUAUAUAGGAUAUAGUUAACUUAAACAUUCUCAAAAAUGAGUACUCGCCUCAGUUAAAAAAGAAAAAAAAUGGAAGUGGAGAAACCAAACAGUUUUUUUUUUUAGAAACGUGAAGACUGUACUCAAAGCAGCGAGAGAUUUCUUUUAAAGUGAAUUAUUAAAUGACCAACCAUACUACUCCCUUGGUGACAGAAAUCGGAAGUCGAAUCGGGGCAGCAGAAUAACUACAGCACCCCCUUCACCUGGUGGGAGGGAGAUAAUCACGUUGCGCUCGACUGACGCGAUCGAUAGCGCUUUGUCCAGUGGUCUUAUCCAUCUGUUCUCCGUAAACAUCCUGAUUAUUAACUUGGACUGUUUCCACAUGUCGAAAGGUUAUCUUCCGCUUCCGACCGACAGCGAGAAGAGGAACAAUAGUAACACUAAACGGAGAAGUCCCCAGAGUAACCGCGAUUCUUUUCCCCUGCCAUCCAUUCAUAUUGAUGUAGCAAGCAAUUAAAGCACUGUUUAUGUCCGGAUCGCCAUUGCUAGAAGCCAAAUCUUUUCUGGAAAGAAAAUCUGAGAAUUAAAAGAAACGUUGGUGCAGCUGCGUAUCACUGUGUUGGUUUAUUUGGCCGCCACUGCCGAGAAGAGAGAGGUGGAUGAAAGUACGAGGCUCGUAUUUCCUCUAACAAAGAAGCAAUGUGCCAUUUGCCCGUAUUGACAGAACAAGCGGCGGCGCAUCUCCAACCUGACUUAGUGGAGAAUGAACUGCGCUUCUCCACUAAGCGCUUUUGGUCGCUCUCUUAUUCUUGUAGUAGCAUUUACACUCAAGUGGCUCUGUCGGGAACAAAACGAGCUGGGCGAAGGUUAAUCCAGAGAGGGGGGAAAAGUGCCAGCGGGUCAUUAUCGACAACAUUUAACCUGUCCCUAUUAUCUGCACUCUAUAUGCUAAUAAGAUGAAAGUAGGACAGCAUCUGCAUGCCAGACACAAUUUGCAACACUCGUACCCAGCAGAUUGAUGACAGUUGGCUGGAUAGCACACAGAAGAGUACAUAAGGCAGUUUGCUACAGAAACUAUAACAGUUGUCGCCGGUCGUAAUGGCAGAAGUGGGGGAGGUAUGAACUCGCAGAUGGCC